This 326-nucleotide long non-coding RNA is filed under the name Salvia miltiorrhiza (redroot sage). Its description in RNAcentral is "long non-coding RNA (SMIL_LNC011657)". Lineage: Eukaryota; Viridiplantae; Streptophyta; Magnoliopsida; Lamiales; Lamiaceae. The record is from RNAcentral.
GGUGGCAGGGGUGUGCAUUCGAUUUUGAGUUUGGACUUUUAUUAAAAUUAAAUCAAAUAAAAUAAAUUAAAUUUAUAUUUAAUUUAAAAAUAAAAUAAAAUUAAAUCGAAUAAACUAAAUUAAAAUAACCAAAAUUUUUAGAAUUAAAUCCAAACCAAAUCCAGAAAUCGAAAUAAUCUAGAAAAAAUUGGAAAAAAAAAAAUCAAGAAAACCAAAAAUUUGAAAAAAUUUAAAUUAAAAAUAAGUAAAGUGAAAUUUAAUUGUAUUUAAUUUUAAAUUACAUAUACUCCUUCCUUCCCCCAUAAAUAUGCAUAAUUACUUCCGGC